CUACGUGCCAGCAGCCGCGGUAAUACGUAGGUGGCAAGCGUUGUCCGGAUUUAUUGGGCGUAAAGCGAGCGCAGGCGGUCAAUUAAGUCUGAUGUGAAAGCCCCCGGCUCAACCGGGGAGGGUCAUUGGAAACUGGKKGACUUGAGUGCAGAAGAGGAGAGUGGAAUUCCAUGUGUAGCGGUGAAAUGCGUAGAUAUAUGGAGGAACACCAGUGGCGAAGGCGACUCUCUGGUCUGUAACUGACGCUGAGGCUCGAAAGCGUGGGUAGCAAACAGGAUUAGAUACCCUGGUAGUCCACGCCGUAAACGAUGAGUGCUAAGUGUUGGAGGGUUUCCGGGAUUCAGUGCCGCAGCUAACGCAUUAAGCACUCCGCCUGGGGAGUACGACCGCAAGGUUGAAACUCAAAGGAAUUGACGGGGGCCCGCACAAGCGGAGGAACAUGUGGUUUAAUUCGAUGAUACGCGAGGAACCUUACCCGGGCUUGAACUAACGGUGACGAAUCUAGAGAUAG
This 511-nucleotide ribosomal RNA is filed under the name uncultured bacterium. RNAcentral describes it as "bacterial SSU rRNA". It matches the Rfam family "Bacterial small subunit ribosomal RNA", at positions 501 to 1009 of the family's 1533-position model. The record is from RNAcentral.